Molecule: ribosomal RNA, 497 nt
Filed under: uncultured bacterium
Lineage: Bacteria
Description: partial 16S ribosomal RNA
Rfam family: Bacterial small subunit ribosomal RNA
Source: RNAcentral
GAUGAACGCUGGCGGCGUGCCUAAUACAUGCAAGUCGAGCGAACAGAUGAGGAGCUUGCUCCUCUGACGUUAGCGGCGGACGGGUGAGUAACACGUGGAUAACCUACCUAUAAGACUGGGAUAACUUCGGGAAACCGGAGCUAAUACCGGAUAAUAUAUUGAACCGCAUGGUUCAAUAGUGAAAGACGGUUUUGCUGUCACUUAUAGAUGGAUCCGCGCCGCAUUAGCUAGUUGGUAAGGUAACGGCUUACCAAGGCAACGAUGCGUAGCCGACCUGAGAGGGUGAUCGGCGACACGGGAGCUGAGACACGGUCCAGACGCCUACGGGAGGCAGCAGUAGGGAAUCGGCCGCAAUGGGCGAAAGCCUGACGGAGCAACGCCGCGUGAGUGAUGAAGGUCUUCGGAUCGGAAAACUCUGUUAUUAGGGAAGAACAAAUGUGUAAGUAACUAUGCACGUCUUGACGGUACCUAAUCAGAAAGCCACGGCUAACUACGUG